AAUUCUGCCAAACCAACUUUGGGUCGAGUGCGUCAAACCAACGAAACCGGAGGAGGAAGAGGAGGGGACACGGGGCCACCAAAGGCCACCAGGGGCCACCAGGGGCCACCAGGGGCCACCAGGGGCCACCAAAGGCCAUCAGGGGCCACCACGGGGCACCAGGGGCCACCAAGGGGCCACCAGGGGCCACCAAAGGUCACCACGUGGCCACCAAAGGCCACCAGGGGCCACCACAGGGACAGCCAAGGGAUGGUCACCAUCAGGACGGGCAGGGCCACCACCAAGAUGGUCAGGGCCACCACAAAUAGGGUCAGGAGGUGGCCAGGGCCACCAAGGCCACCAUGGGAAGGACCAGGGCCACCAUCAGGAUGAGCAGGGCCACCAUCAGGAAUGGUCAGGGCCACCAAGGCCACCAUGGGAAGGACCAGGGCCACCACAGGAAGGGUCAGGAGGUGGCCAGGGCCACCACGGCCACCCCAGGACCACUAUGAGGAUGGCCAGGAGCCACCAAGGCCACCAUGGGAAGGACCAGGGCUACCAGAGGAAGAGGCAGGAGGUGGCCAGGGCCACCAAGGCCACCAUGGGAAGGACCAGGGCCACCAAGGGGAUGAGCAGGGCCACCAUCAGGAUUAGCAGGGCCACUACAGGAAGGGUCAGG
This 658-nucleotide long non-coding RNA is filed under the name Calidris pugnax (ruff). RNAcentral's name for it is "lncRNA (ENSCPUG00000000394.1)". Lineage: Eukaryota; Metazoa; Chordata; Aves; Charadriiformes; Scolopacidae. The record is from RNAcentral.